UAAACUAGGAUUAGAUACCCUAUUAUUAGAAAUAAUACAUUGUUAGUAAAUAAUAUUUAUGAAAACAAAAAAUCAUGGCGGUAUCUUAAGCUUUUCAGAGGAAUUUGCUCUUUAAUGGAUAAAACACCUAAAUCUUACUAAAAUUGGUUAAGACAGUUUGUAUACCACUAUUUAAGUAAUUAUUAAUUAUAAUUGCUGUAAAUUUUAAACAAAAAAAAAGUUAAGUCAAGGUGCAGCUUAAAUUUUAGGAUGAAGUGAAUUACAAUGCUUUUUAGAAAAUACAUUUUUUAAAAGAAAAUUAGGAUUUGAAAGUAAAAAUUUUAAUAGAAUGAUUAAUUGAAUUAAGCUCUGGGAUAUGUACAUAUCGCCCGUCACUCUUUA
This 381-nucleotide ribosomal RNA is filed under the name Amblyomma cajennense (Cayenne tick). Its description in RNAcentral is "partial 12S ribosomal RNA". The record is from RNAcentral. Lineage: Eukaryota; Metazoa; Arthropoda; Arachnida; Ixodida; Ixodidae.